GCAGCAUUUUUGGCCUUGGUGCAGUCUCCUUUUCAGAAACUCCAGCAAGAUCUAGUGCUCUGAUGUCAUUGCUGAUGCCUUCUUCUGAACUGGAAUUUGAGGACACAUCCCACAGACUGUUGUUAUCAGACAGGAGCUGGUUGAGAUGGUAUCGAGAGAAGUGUGUUCCCUCUAUUCGUUGCCUGUAAGCCUUUGCUCUUGCUCGAAG
RNAcentral lists this long non-coding RNA (208 nucleotides) under Gallus gallus (chicken). Lineage: Eukaryota; Metazoa; Chordata; Aves; Galliformes; Phasianidae. The record is from RNAcentral.